CCGGUAGGAUUCAGUCUCAAACUGCAGAGGUACUGGAGAGCAUUGCAGAUGAUGCUGAAGGUCAAAUGAAGGUGGAGAAACCGCAAAACAGCACGACGCGCCACCCAACUGCAAGCUAAUUGGGAAGGAAAUGGUUUCAAACUGACAGACUGUGGCCUGAUAACCGAAAUCUCAUAGGGACAAAAGCACAUUUGAAGCUGGACCAGUCACUUUUCAAGUGCUCAAGACCCAUACGUGGCUAUACAGGAUGGUAUAGACAUUUUGACUUUAGUCCUCAAAUAAGCAAGAGGAAGACAUAAACCUGAAUCUAGAAUGAAGGAAAAACAUCUCAUAGUUAUAUUCAAGCUGAUUACAGAUUAUACUACAAUGUAAGUACGGACUUCUAAAAAACGUUAUAAACCUAGAUUGUUGUAUAUGUCUAAAAUCUAACUGGAGGUAAAAGGGGAAAGAACUAGUUAGUCAUUGAUCACCUAAGGUAUGCUAGGAACUAUGCUUGUUGCUUGACACAUACUGUUUUACUAAAUCCUUACAAUAAUCUUAUGACUGUUAUUAUUGGCCCCAGUAAAAAUUAACAAAAUUGAGAUGCAGAAGGAGUAGAAGCUUACCCAAAGAAUUACAACAAGAAAUCAAUACUAGAGCUAGGAUCCUGCCUGAGUCCACGCUGCCUAACUAGGUGACAGCUCCAUUCAUUCUGAGCUCUUAGAUCACCCUAUAUCCAAGUAAAUUUAACCUUCAUUUGACAAAAAUAUUUGCCUAUUAAGCCCUCUAAAACAAAUCCAGAAAACAUGUACACCACAUAAUUUUCAUUUGUAGUUUUUACUUUCUAAGUUUUAUGGCCUUUGAUAUCUUCAGGAAAAUGUGAAGAAAAACACAUACAUUCAUCUUGUGAGUAAAUAAAUAGAUAGAUACGUGGAUAUAAAAACAGACCAUAUUUUGUGGAUGGGAAAUAUUACUGACAUACUGCUUAUAGUUAGAUGCUGUUGUUGGAUGACAUUGGGCAAGCUUGUCAUGUGUCUUCUGAUGUCUCCCUUGUCCUUUAUCAACUCACCUCCUUGCUGAACACUUUCAGAGUUUCUUGUAUGUUUAUUGGCUACUGAAUCUCCUUCCAACUACAUUUUGUAGAGUCUAGGAAACACAGUUCUGAAAUUUAAUCCUGGUUCAUUUGCUAGAA
Cercocebus atys (sooty mangabey) is the source of this 1171-nucleotide long non-coding RNA. RefSeq lists it as uncharacterized. The record is from RefSeq and is a predicted model, not a curated record. The transcript is spliced from 3 exons. NCBI's taxonomy places the organism in Eukaryota, Metazoa, Chordata, Mammalia, Primates, Cercopithecidae.